Long non-coding RNA from Arabidopsis thaliana (thale cress), 426 nucleotides. RefSeq annotates it as other RNA. The transcript has a single exon. NCBI's taxonomy places the organism in Eukaryota, Viridiplantae, Streptophyta, Magnoliopsida, Brassicales, Brassicaceae. The record is from RefSeq.
AGGCCUCAAGUUCUUGAGCUCCUGUUACAUACAAUAAAGGCCAAAGUAAAAAUAACAUUUGUAAUAAGCCAAACAAAACCAACAAACAAAUCAGAAGAUUCUUGAGUCGUCGUCUCUAGGUAGCUAAGUCAUGCCAUAGUCUGUCUUGAUAAUUCCAAGAGAACCAGAUUCAAAUCUUGAAGACAGUAGUAACACACUAACCGACAAUCAUCAUCUUGGUCCCAUCAAUAAACUUAAUCCACAAAAUUUACAGCCAACAAGACUUUUAAAGUUUUUACCAACAUGUAUAUUAGCCUAGCCUACAACGAGAUCAUGGAUCUGCCUCAACUAAACCAAGUUUAUUGUGAUCAUAGCUCUUAAUUUCUACAGAAUCUAACUGAUCAGAACCAACAAAAAAAUGUGGACAAGGAAGAACUAGUAACAGAG